This 440-nucleotide ribosomal RNA is filed under the name uncultured bacterium. Its description in RNAcentral is "bacterial SSU rRNA". It matches the Rfam family "Bacterial small subunit ribosomal RNA", at positions 339 to 796 of the family's 1533-position model. The record is from RNAcentral.
CUACGGGAGGCAGCAGUCGAGGAUCUUCGGCAAUGGGCGCAAGCCUGACCGAGCGACGCCGCGUGUGCGAUGAAGGCCUUCGGGUUGUAAAGCACUGUCGGGGAGGGGAAAAGCUGAUCCCCUCCCGGAGGAAGCACGGGCUAAGUUCGUGCCAGCAGCCGCGGUAAGACGAACCGUGCGAACGUUGUUCGGAAUCACUGGGCUUAAAGGGCGCGUAGGCGGGCGGGCAAGUCGGAGGUGAAAGCCCCCAGCUCAACUGGGGAAGUGCCCUCGAUACUGCCGGCCUUGAGGGGGGUAGGGGCGUGCGGAACUUCCGGUGGAGCGGUGAAAUGCGUAGAUAUCGGAAGGAACACCGGUGGCGAAGGCGGCACGCUGGGCCCACCCUGACGCUGAGGCGCGAAAGCCAGGGGAGCGAACGGGAUUAGAAACCCCGGUAGUCC